AUACGGAGGAUGCAAGCGUUAUCCGGAUUUAUUGGGUUUAAAGGGUGCGUAGGCGGUUUGCUAAGCGGGAGGUGAAAUGCCGGCGCUCAACGUCGGAAGUGCCUCCCGAACUGGUGGACUUGAAUGACUCUGCCGUGGGAGGAAUGUGUAGUGUAGCGGUGAAAUGCUUAGAGAUUACACAGAACACCGAUUGCGAAGGCAUCUCACGAAGGGUUGAUUGACGCUGAGGCACGAAAGCGUGGGGAUCAAACAGGAUUAGAUACCCUGGUAGUCCACGCAGUAAACGAUGAUGGCUAACCGCUGGGCUUAUCAGUUCAGUGGCCAAGCGAAAGCGAUAAGCCAUCCACCUGGGGAGUACGACCGCAAGGUUGAAACUCAAAGGAAUUGACGG
RNAcentral lists this ribosomal RNA (391 nucleotides) under uncultured bacterium. RNAcentral's name for it is "partial 16S ribosomal RNA". It matches the Rfam family "Bacterial small subunit ribosomal RNA", at positions 523 to 916 of the family's 1533-position model. The record is from RNAcentral.